Molecule: ribosomal RNA, 1014 nt
Filed under: Agrobacterium tumefaciens
Lineage: Bacteria; Pseudomonadati; Pseudomonadota; Alphaproteobacteria; Hyphomicrobiales; Rhizobiaceae
Description: bacterial SSU rRNA
Rfam family: Bacterial small subunit ribosomal RNA
Source: RNAcentral
CAAAUGGGCUUCUUCUUACCAUGCAGUCGAACGCCCCGCAAGGGGAGUGGCUCACGGGUGAGUAACGCGUGAGAACAUACCCUUUCCUGCGGAAUAGCUCCGGGAAACUGGAAUUAAUACCGCAUACGCCCUACGGGGGAAAGAUUUAUCGGGGAAGGAUUGGCCCGCCUUGGAUUAGCUAGUUGGUGGGGUAAACGCCUACCAAGGCAACUAUCCAUAGCUGGUCUGAGAGGAUGAUCAGCCACAUUGGGACUGAGACACGGCCCAGACUCCCACCGGAGGCAGCGGUGCGGAAUCUUGGACACUGGGCGCAGGCCUGAUCCAGCCAUGCCGCGUGAGUGAUGAAGGCCUUAGGGUUGUAAAGCUCUUUCACCGGAAAACAUAAUGACGGUAUCCGGAGAACAAGCCCCGGCUAACUUCGUGCCAGCAGACGCGCAAAUACGAAGGGGGCUAGCGUUGUUCGGAAUUACUGGGCCCAAAGCGCCCGUAGGCGGAUAUUUAAGGCAGGGGUGAAAUCCCAGAGCUCAACUCUGGAACUGCCUUUGAUACUGGGUAUCUUGAGUAUGGAAGAGGUAAGUGGAAUUCCGAGUGAACAGCUGAAAUUCCUAGAUAUUCGGAGGAACACCAGGGGCGAUGGAGGCUUACUGGUCCAUUACUGACGCUGAGAGUGCGAAAGCGAAUGCGAGCAAACAGGAUUAGAUACCCUGGUAGUCCACGCCGUACACGAUGAAUGUUAGCCGUCGAGCAGUAUACUGUUCGGUGGCGCAGCUAACGCAUUAACAUUCCGCCUGGGAGUACGGUCGCAAGAUAAAACUCACGGAAUUGACCGGUGCCCGCACAAGCUGUGGAGCAUGUGGUUCAAUUCGAAGCAACACGGAGAACAGUACCAGCUCUUGACAUUCGGGGAGUGGGCAGUUGAGACGUUGUACCUUCAGAUAGGCUGGCCCACCUACGGGAGCUGCAUGGCUGUUCGUCAGCUCUGUCGUGGACGAUGUUGGGAAUCAGACUCGCACC